RNAcentral lists this long non-coding RNA (252 nucleotides) under Elaeis guineensis (African oil palm). Its description in RNAcentral is "long non-coding RNA (EGUI_LNC025381)". The record is from RNAcentral. Lineage: Eukaryota; Viridiplantae; Streptophyta; Magnoliopsida; Arecales; Arecaceae.
UUGACCUUUGGUGACUUCGUCGGAGAGCAAUCACGGCGAAGACAAGGUGGUGUCCGCGGCUCUAUUUCGAGAAAAACGGAGAGAAGGAGAGAGGGAAGAGGCCGAUGGAUCGAUUCUAAGGAGAGGGGAGACCUUCUUAUAGAGGGUCCUAGGAUUUCGAGGGGUCCUAGGACUCCUAAUAGGCUUGGGUCUCGCCGGAGAAGAAGACUCCUACCGGGAGUCUUCUUCCCGGUUUUACUCUUGUUUUUUUNN